UUGGGGGUGGAGGGGCCAGUUCCUCUGUGACUGACUGGCUGACGCAGCUUACUUGAACAGGUCCAGCCUAGAGAGUCAACUUUAGAGACUGGCAUUUGCAAGUGCGCAACGGUGUUUGACGGGGGACAUAGAUGACUGCUGGUCCUCCUUCAUAAACUCGGCCUUGGAGUGUGCAGCCACUGAGGUACAGGAGUCCUGUGCUGUCCCUGCACUAAUCAGAGUGCUCAAAAUCCAGCCUCUGCCUUCAAGAAGGGAGCAGGAUGUGUAUGGCACCCACGUCCUCUCCAUCUGCACCCGCAGCCACAGCCACAGCCACAGCCACAGCCAGUGCUAUGUCCUGUUGCCACUCACAUUCAUACCUGCAACAUGCACUUAUACAUGUGUUCGGAUAUUGGCGAAGAAGCUCCCUUUCCCACCUGGGGGGAGCCCGGGCUGGCUGCGAUUUCAUGGGGACAGGUAAGAAGGUGCAAACUUGGGGUUCAGAGGGAAGGUGGAGGGGUGGCUGGGAUGCAUGAGCUAGGGGUGGCAGUUUUUCCAAAUUAUACAUUCAGGUCAUGCGUGGAACCCUUGCAGAGACCUGACUUGCUGUUUUUCUAUCUCUUCCUGGUGUGCCGGGCAGUCUCUCUGUGCUCAUGGUUUAACUAGUCUUUCUUUAUUUUUAUUUUAUUUUAUUAUGAUUUUUUGAGACGGAGUCUCACUCUGUUGCCCAGGCUGGAGUGCAGUGGUGUGAUCUCGGCUUGCUGCAACCUCUGCCUCCAAGGUUCAAGUAAUUCUCCUGCCUCAGCCUCCCAAGUAGCUGGGAUUAUAGGCGCCCACCAACACGCCCAGCUAAUUUUUGUAUUUUUAGUAGAGACGGGGUUUUACCAGGUUGGCCAGGCUGGUCUUGAACUCCUGACCUCAGAUGAUCCACCCGCCUUGGCCUCCCAAAGUGAUGGGAUUACAGGCAUGAGCCACUGCACCCGGCCACUCUUUUCUUUUCUUCUAUUUCUUUUAUUGGCUCUCUCUUUCUCUCUCUCUUUUUUUUUUAGAUAGGGUCUUGCUCACUGUGUUGCCCAGGCUGGUCUUGAACUGCUGGACUCAAGCCAUCCUCCUGCCUCAACUAACCGAGUAACUGGGAUUACAGGUGAAUGCCACAGCACCUGGUUGCUCAUUUCCUUUUAGCGCUGAAUAAUAUUCCAUUGUCUGGAUGUACCACAGU
This 1198-nucleotide long non-coding RNA is filed under the name Rhinopithecus bieti (black snub-nosed monkey). Its description in RNAcentral is "lncRNA (ENSRBIG00000045949.1)". Lineage: Eukaryota; Metazoa; Chordata; Mammalia; Primates; Cercopithecidae. The record is from RNAcentral.